ACUCAAAUGAAUUGACGGGGACCCGCACAAGCGGUGGAGCGUGUUCUUUAAUUCGACGCUAAGCGAAGAACCUUACCAGGGCUUGACAUCCUUGGAAUUUCUGCGAAAGCAGAAAGUGCCUUCGGGAACCAAGUGACAGGUACUGCAUGGCCGUCGUCAGCUCGUGUCGUGAGAUGUUUGGUUAAGUCCAUUAACGAGCGCAACCCUUAUGAUUAGUUGGAUUUUUCUAAUCAGACUGCCUCGGCAACGGGGAGGAAGGAGGGGAUGAUGUCAGGUCAUUAUUGUCCUUACGUCCUGGGCUAGAAACGCGCUACAAUGGCCGGUACAGAGGGCUGCCAACCCGUGAGGGGGAGCAAAUCCCAUCAAAGCCGGUCCCAGUUCGGAUUGCAGGCUGAAACUCGCCUGCAUGAAGCCGGAAUCGCUAGUAAUCGUGGGUCAGCACACCACGGUGAAUACGUUCCCGGGUCUUGUACACACCGCCCGU
This 484-nucleotide ribosomal RNA is filed under the name uncultured bacterium. RNAcentral's name for it is "partial 16S ribosomal RNA". It matches the Rfam family "Bacterial small subunit ribosomal RNA", at positions 899 to 1397 of the family's 1533-position model. The record is from RNAcentral.